Molecule: ribosomal RNA, 440 nt
Filed under: uncultured bacterium
Lineage: Bacteria
Description: partial 16S ribosomal RNA
Rfam family: Bacterial small subunit ribosomal RNA
Source: RNAcentral
CCUACGGUGAGCAGCAGUGGGGAAUAUUGCACAAUGGGGGAAACCCUGAUGCAGCGACGCCGCGUGAGUGAAGAAGUACUUCGUUAUGUAAAGCUCUAUCAGCAGGGAAGAAAAUGACGGUACCUGAGUAAGAAGCCCCGGCUAACUACGUGCCAGCAGCCGCGGUAAUACGGAGGGGGCAAGCGUUAUCCGGAUUUACUGGGUGUAAAGGGAGCGUAGACGGCAGUGCAAGUCUGGAGUGAAAGGCGGGGGCCCAACCCCCGGACUGCUCUGGAAACUGGACGGCUGGAGUGCAGGAGAGGUAAGGGGAAUUCCUAGUGUAGCGGUGAAAUGCGUAGAGAGUAGGAGGAACACCAGUGGCGAAGGCGGCUUACUGGACUGUAACUGACGUUGAGGCUCGAAAGCGUGGGGAGCAAACAGGAUUAGAUACCCCUGUAGUC